Molecule: RNase P RNA, 396 nt
Filed under: Myxococcales bacterium
Lineage: Bacteria; Pseudomonadati; Myxococcota; Myxococcia; Myxococcales
Description: RNase P RNA component class A
Rfam family: Bacterial RNase P class A
About the family: Ribonuclease P (RNase P) is a ubiquitous endoribonuclease, found in archaea, bacteria and eukarya as well as chloroplasts and mitochondria.
Source: RNAcentral
ACACAAGAGCAGGUGGCCGCUGCGCCUUUUUGGCGGAGAGGAAAGUCCGAGCUCCAUAGGGCAAAGGUGCUGGAUAACGUCCAGUGGGGGCGACCCCAAGGAAAGUGCCACAGAAAAUAGUCUGCGAUCCCAGAUCUUCGGAACUCGGGUCGCGAGGGUGAAAACGUGCGGUAAGAGCGCACGGUCACGGCAGGUGACUGUCGUGGCGGCAAACCCCACCUGGAGCAAGACCAAAUAGGGAAGCGUCAUGUUAAAGCAUGACACGGGCGGCCCGUCCGCGCUUCCGGGUCAGGUCGCUGGAGGAGCGUGGUAACACGAUUCGUAGAGGAAUGGUCACCGCCUGUUUGAUGGAGACAUCAUGCAGGAACAGAACUCGGCUUACGCGUUUGUGUCUAC